Molecule: ribosomal RNA, 253 nt
Filed under: uncultured bacterium
Lineage: Bacteria
Description: partial 16S ribosomal RNA
Rfam family: Bacterial small subunit ribosomal RNA
Source: RNAcentral
UACGAAGGGUGCAAGCGUUACUCGGAAUUACUGGGCGUAGAGGGUGCGUAGGUGGUUGUUUAAGUCUGCUGUGAAAGCCCCGGGCUCAACCUGGGAAUGGCAGUGGAUACUGGACAGCUAGAGUGCGGUAGAGGGUAGUGGAAUUCCCGGUGUAGCAGUGAAAUGCGUAGAGAUCGGGAGGAACACCAGUGGCGAAGGCGGCUACCUGGACCAGCACUGACACUGAAGCACGAAAGCGUGGGGAGCAAACAGG